GUCAAGCAAAGUGGGGGCGGGGCCGGGGCCGGGGCCGGGGCCGAGGCCGGGUGUAAGAUGGAAUAAAGCAGUAGUGAAAUCAUCUUGGGGAGCUGGGAGGAGUGUCAAACUUUCAGCAAUUGAGUCCCGAGAAGCAAUGCUCAGAAAUUAUGGAGGUGAUUCUGGCAGGUUCCAGCUGUUCUUGUUUUCCCUACCUUAGAGAAAGAGAGAGAGAUGGGAAGCUGGGGGAUUUCCAUUAAGGAGAAACCAGAGACGAUCAAAGGAGGAGGAGGGUGGUGCUGCCCUUUAAGAAAGCCGGCCAGAGCUCUGGAACUGGGACUCUUAAGAAACUUCUGUAAUGUGCCAAGUAAAGUGAGAAAGCUCUUCGUGGGGUCAAAAGAGAAGCUACCAGAGGAGGCCCCACGGAAGACUUGGCAGAAGAGAGUGGGAAAGAGUUUCACAUGGAUGGAUCAGAGCCUCAGCCUCCAUCUUUCCACAGCGUUUAAGAUUUUGCCUCAUAUGCAUGCAUACUUGACAAAGACUUUACCACUAGAGAUAAUAGAGAAGCCAGAGAGAGUGAGGAGAAACUACCAGAUAAAUCAUUAUGAAGCAAAUGUUCUCCUUUCUCAAUAACAUGGACUCAAUAGCUGAAUGUGGCUCAGACAAAGCAUCUGUCUCUCCGUCUUUCAAACUUAAAAAGAAAAUCAUCAAGACCUCAGUAGAGAAAUGAGUAAUGCACGGGAUUUCAUGGAAGAGGAAACAGGACUAGUAAAUAAACACAUGAAGACUGAAGUCCAUCCUAACUAGAAAUAAAAUGAAAAGCACAUUUGAGGUGCACUUUUCUUUCUUUUUUUUAACUAAACUUGCAAGAUUUUAUUAAGUGGUAACACUCAGUUCUGGGAACAUCUUAAAAUUGGUAUCCUCCCACAAGGAUGGUGACACUUUAAAUUUGGACAAGUCUUUGG
Long non-coding RNA from Bos taurus (domestic cattle), 944 nucleotides. The record is from Ensembl. NCBI's taxonomy places the organism in Eukaryota, Metazoa, Chordata, Mammalia, Artiodactyla, Bovidae.